Hevea brasiliensis (rubber tree) is the source of this 1747-nucleotide RNA transcript. It is a transcript of the gene named peptide chain release factor APG3, chloroplastic, with no coding region annotated. The record is from RefSeq and is a predicted model, not a curated record. The transcript is spliced from 15 exons. NCBI's taxonomy places the organism in Eukaryota, Viridiplantae, Streptophyta, Magnoliopsida, Malpighiales, Euphorbiaceae.
UUCCACCAAACGGACCCUUAUCAGUUUCACCGGCCACAGGCCCAGCUUCUUCUUCCUGCGUCUUCAGUCAUCCAAAAACACUCCGUGACUUUCUUUUCUAUCUGGGUUGGGUUGGCUCUUCUCCAAACUCGGUACAAUUACAUGACGACCAUGGGUAGCUUAACAACGAGCUUAACAGCUCGAACGCUUACAAGUCCCAAUCAAUGCCCAGUAAGACAGCAUUUUCGACUAAAAUUUAGAAGAAGUAGCGUGUUUCUUAGACCCUUGUCCACGCGCAGAAGUUCAAGAAUCGUUUGCAUGGCGGAGCCUUAUUUGAUAACAAAGCUCGAAUCCGCAGAGAAGACGUGGAAAGAACUAUCGGUCAAGCUGGCAGAUCCAGAUGUUGUCUCAAAUCCAAGCGAAUACCAAAAACUGGCACAAUACAUGGCAGAGCUUGAUGAAGUUGUGUCAAUUUAUAGGAGAUUCAAGGAUUGUGAGAAGCAGUUGGAAGAGACUAAAGCUUUAGCAAAAGAGGAAGGAAAUGAUGAAGAUAUGGCUGAGAUGAUAGCAUAUGAAAUUGACUCUUUAUCCAAUGAAAUUAAAGAGCUUGAGGAGAAGCUUAAGGUACUACUGUUACCUAGUGAUCCUCUUGAUGCGAGAAAUAUAAUGCUUGAAGUAAGGGCAGGUACUGGUGGUGAUGAAGCUGGAAUAUGGGCUGGUGAUCUUGUCCGUAUGUAUCAGAAAUACAGCGAGCAAAACUCUUGGAAGUACUCUUUAGUUUCAAGUUCCGAGGCUGAAAAAGGUGGAUACAAAACCUAUGUGAUGGAGGUAAAAGGGAGUCGUGUUUACAGCAAAUUAAAAUAUGAAUCUGGUGUACAUCGAGUUCAGCGUGUUCCUCAAACAGAAACUCAGGGACGUGUGCAUACUUCUACUGCAACAGUAGCCAUCAUGCCUGAGGCAGAUGAAGUUGAAGUGGUAAUUGAUCCAAAGGAUAUUGAACUUACAACAGCAAGGUCUGGAGGUGCUGGAGGACAAAAUGUUAACAAGGUGGAAACAGCUGUUGAUCUUUUUCACAAACCAACGGGAAUUCGCAUCUUUUGUACUGAAGAAAGGACACAACUUCAGAAUAAAGCCCGUGCUCUUCAGCUUCUGCGAGCAAAACUGUAUGAGAUGAAAGUAAGGGAGCAGCAAGAGUCAAUAAGGAACCAACGUAAAUUACAGGUUGGCACAGGUGCUCGAGCAGAAAAGAUUCGAACAUACAAUUACAAGGUUACAUGUUCUUUAAUUAGGACAAUAGAGUCACCGACCACCGGUUAAAGAUGAACUUUGAGCUUACAUCUUUUCUUGAAGGUGAUAUAGAAAAUGCAGUGCAGGCAUGUGCUGCCAUGGAGCAGAAGGAACUCCUGGAAGAACUUGCAGAGUCUGUAGGUGCUCCCGCUGGCUGAUUUGCAAAAUUUUGUCACUUGCUACAAUACUCUCAAGUUGUUGAAACAGGGGAAAACCACUUGGAGGAAGUGCUGAUAAGCAAAUUGCUGCCGAAGUAAUCUUCUCAUAGCAACUUUCUUAAGACGGAUAUUCACAGGUCAAAUUUAUUUGUAUUUAUGGAUGCAAUCAGACGCCGUAUGCAUUUGGUAUUUACCAACAUCUAUAUGUACGGGACUAGCCACUUAAAUUGUAUCAUAUCAUAAUGUAUUGUAUGCUAUGAUUUCAGUUGAAUUGUAAAUUACUUUUAUUCAUUUAUGCCCAUGCUUCUAAUCUGAAAUUUUAA